This 1481-nucleotide ribosomal RNA is filed under the name bacterium. RNAcentral describes it as "partial 23S ribosomal RNA". It matches the Rfam family "Bacterial large subunit ribosomal RNA", at positions 2445 to 2925 of the family's 2925-position model. The record is from RNAcentral.
AAGAUUAACGGAUAAAAGUUACUCUGGGGAUAACAGGCUGGUUUCGCCUAAGAGUCCAAAUCGACGGCGAAGUUCGGCACCUCGAUGUCGGCUCAUCUUAGCGCGGGGGUGGAGAAAACAUACCUUCUCUCCUCAUCGGAAACGAUGAGGUAAUUAAACAAGCUCAAAACGGUAGAGACCUCAUCAUGCGAUCUGUGUUUCGCAGGUCCCAGGUGGAUGAUAUAAUCCAUGCAUGACGGUUAGUGCCGUAGGAAAGAUACGUUCAGAAGUCGAUCGAGCAUAUCUUGCCGGUCUCAUUGAUGGCGAUGGCUGUAUCAUGGCCACUAUCGAGAGGCAUGGCGAGAAGAAAUUCGGAUUCCGUGUACGAGUGGAAGUAAAGAUAACGCAAAAGAAAUCAGAUUUACUUGUAAGUCUUAGGAAACAAUUCAAUGUCGGCAGGAUUGCGCCUAAUCGCACGACGUGCGACUGGAUUGUAAGAGACAAACAAGAAGCUGCUUUUAUUUUGGAUGUUAUUGCACCGUAUACGAGAGACAAGGCGAGGCAAGUGAGAUUGGCGCAGGAAAUUCUCUCGACGCCAAUACUUUCACUUCUCGAACUUAAACGAAUGGCUCGAUUAGCGGAUACAUUGUCGCGGUUCAACGUGCGAUCAAAAAAUCGCCGCAAGAACUAUGCGUCAAUGAUCAAAGGACGUGUCUCCUCUAACGACUGAUUGCUUCGGUUUUUUGGCCGGAGCAUGAGAUAUGCGUCGCAAAAGACGGUAUCACACGGCUUGCACCUACAUAUUCUUUGGUAACAAAGAAAGAUACGGUGAUGGAAUAGUCUGAUACUCGUGGAAACGCGAGAUAACAAGAAAGAGCUCCCAAGCGUAUGGCUGUUCGCCAUUUAAAAAGGUACGUGAGCUGGGUUCAAACCGUUCAGAAGUUCAUUCGUGGACUCUUGAACGGUUUGAACCCCGAGGCUACAUAGAAAAAUAAAACUGUUACAAACAACUAGAAAGAUAGUAAGACAAUUCACGGCGGCGCAUUUCAGGAAUGUUAUGCGACCAAUUCAACUUAUAUCGGUGAAAUCCUACAACGGACAACACCGAGGGAAGUUUGUGAUCAUCACAGACACCCGUAGAGACUGAAUGUUGAACACCCCGAACGGGUGAAGUUACAGUCCGAUGCACACAGUAAUGUGUGGAAACAUGCGUGAGACAGGUUGGUCUUAAUCUGCUGUAGGCGUUGAUUCUUGAGGAGAUUCGUUUCUAGUACGAGAGGACCGAAAUGAACUGACCUCUGGUCUGGGGGCUGUCGUACCAACGGCACCGCCCCGUAGCUAUGUCGGGAUAGGAUAACCGCUGAAAGCAUCUAAGCGGGAAGCCAACUCCAAGAUUAGGAAUCGUUAUAGACUCGUGGGAGAUGACCACGUUGAUAGGCACCAGGUGGAAGCGCAGUAAUGCGUUGAGCCGAGGUGUACUAAUAAGUCGAAUCAGAAUUCUC